GUUAACAUGGUUUAGUAAAACAUUGGGUUGUGGACCCAAAGACAGAAGUUCAACCCUUCUUGUAAACC
RNAcentral lists this transfer RNA (68 nucleotides) under Hemiergis quadrilineatus (two-toed earless skink). RNAcentral's name for it is "tRNA-His". It matches the Rfam family "tRNA". From Rfam's summary of the family: Transfer RNA (tRNA) molecules are approximately 80 nucleotides in length. Their secondary structure includes four short double-helical elements and three loops (D, anti-codon, and T loops). Lineage: Eukaryota; Metazoa; Chordata; Lepidosauria; Squamata; Scincidae. The record is from RNAcentral.